ACUCAAAUGAAUAGACGGGGGCCCGCACAAGCGGAGGAACAUGUGGUUUAAUUCGAUGAUACGCGAGGAACCUUACCCGGGCUCGAACGGCUGGUGAAUGUAGAUGAAAGUCUACAGUCGCAAGACACCAGUCGAGGUGCUGCAUGGUUGUCGUCAGCUCGUGCCGUGAGGUGUCGGCUUAAGUGCCAUAACGAGCGCAACCCUUACCGUUAGUUACCAUCAGGUAAUGCUGGGGACUCUAACGGGACUGCCACCGUAAGGUGAGAGGAAGGUGGGGAUGACGUCAAAUCAGCACGGCCCUUACGUCCGGGGCUACACACGUGUUACAAUGGGGGGCACAAAAGGCAGCUACCAAGCGAUUGGAUGCUAAUCUAUAAAACCCCUCCCAGUUCGGAUUGGAGUCUGCAACCCGACUCCAUGAAGCUGGAUUCGCUAGUAAUCGCGCAUCAGCCAUGGCGCGGUGAAUACGUUCCCGGGCCUUGUACACACCGCCCGU
Molecule: ribosomal RNA, 496 nt
Filed under: uncultured bacterium
Lineage: Bacteria
Description: bacterial SSU rRNA
Rfam family: Bacterial small subunit ribosomal RNA
Source: RNAcentral